AGAGUUUGAUCAUGGCUCAGGANNNNCGCUGGCGGCGCGCUUAACACAUGCAAGUCGAGCGAGAACCGGUCCUUCGGGACCGGGGAAAGCGGCGAACGGGUGAGUAACACGUGGGUAAUCAACCCUCGGUACCGGGAUAGCCCGAGGAAACUCGGAUUAAUACCGGAUGGCCCAACAGCCUUUCGGGGCGGUUGGAAAAGGUAGCUUCGGCCUCCGACCGAGGACGAGCCCGCGGCGGAUUAGCUUGUUGGUGGGGUAACGGCCCACCAAGGCGACGAUCCGUAGCUGGUCUGAGAGGACGAUCAGCCACACUGGGACUGAGACACGGCCCAGACUCCUACGGGAGGCAGCAGUGGGGAAUCUUGCACAAUGGGCGAAAGCCUGAUGCAGCGACGCCGCGUGAGGGAAGAAGGCUUUCGGGUUGUAAACCUCUUUCAGGAGGGACGAAGCUACUCGGGUUAAUAGCCCAGAGGGUGACGGUACCUCCAGAAGAAGCCCCGGCUAACUACGUGCCAGCAGCCGCGGUAAUACGUAGGGGGCAAGCGUUGUCCGGAUUUAUUGGGCGUAAAGAGCGUGUAGGCGGCCAGGUAGGUCCGUUGUGAAAACUCGAGGCUCAACCUCGAGACGCCGAUGGAAACCCCCUGGCUAGAGUCCGGAAGAGGAGAGUGGAAUUCCUGGUGUAGCGGUGAAAUGCGCAGAUAUCAGGAAGAACACCCGUGGCUAAGGCGGCUCUCUAGUACGGUACUGACGCUGNNACGCNNNNGCGUGGGGAGCGNNNA
RNAcentral lists this ribosomal RNA (779 nucleotides) under uncultured bacterium. Its description in RNAcentral is "bacterial SSU rRNA". It matches the Rfam family "Bacterial small subunit ribosomal RNA", at positions 8 to 774 of the family's 1533-position model. The record is from RNAcentral.